RNAcentral lists this ribosomal RNA (501 nucleotides) under uncultured bacterium. Its description in RNAcentral is "bacterial SSU rRNA". It matches the Rfam family "Bacterial small subunit ribosomal RNA", at positions 899 to 1397 of the family's 1533-position model. The record is from RNAcentral.
ACUCAAAUGAAUUGACGGGGGCCCGCACAAGCGGUGGAGCAUGUGGUUUAAUUCGAUGCUACGCGAAGAACCUUACCCAGACUUGACAUCCCGUGCUACCCUGUGAAAGCAGGGGUUCCCUUCGGGGACGCGGAGACAGGUGCUGCAUGGCUGUCGUCAGCUCGUGUUGUGAGAUGUUGGGUUAAGUCCCGCAACGAGCGCAACCCUCGCCUCUAGUUACCAUCAUUCAGUUGGGCACUCUAGAGGGACCGCUAGGCUAUAAGCCAGAGGAAGGUGGGGAUGACGUCAAGUCCUCAUGGCCUUUAUGUCUGGGGCAACACACGUGCUACAAUGGGCAGGUACAAUGCGCAUCGCGAGCCCGCGAGGGUUAGCAAAUCGCAAAAAGCCUCCCUCAGUUCGGAUUGGAGUCUGCAACUCGACUCCAUGAAGUUGGAAUCGCUAGUAAUCGGGGAUCAGCACGCCCCGGUGAAUACGUUCCCGGGCCUUGUACACACCGCCCGU